GCACUAGUGGCGGAACUGGCAGACGCGCAUGAUUCAGGUUCAUGUGAGAAAUCGUGCAGGUUCAACUCCUGUCUAGUGCACCA
Molecule: transfer RNA, 83 nt
Filed under: Candidatus Colivicinus equi
Lineage: Bacteria; Bacillati; Bacillota; Erysipelotrichia; Erysipelotrichales; Erysipelotrichaceae
Description: tRNA-Leu
Rfam family: tRNA
About the family: Transfer RNA (tRNA) molecules are approximately 80 nucleotides in length. Their secondary structure includes four short double-helical elements and three loops (D, anti-codon, and T loops).
Source: RNAcentral